AGGAUGAACGCUGGCGGCGUGCUUAACACAUGCAAGUCGAACGAUGAAGCAGAGCUUGCUCUGUGGAUUAGUGGCGAACGGGUGAGUAACACGUGAGUAACCUGCCCUUGACUCUGGAAUAAGCGUUGGAAACGACGUCUAAUACCGGAUACGAGCUUCCGCCGCAUGGUGAGGAGCUGGAAAGAAUUUUCGGCAAGGGAUGGACUCGGCGGCCUAGUCGGGUAGUUGGUGAGGUAAGGGCUCACCAAGCCUACGACGGGUAGCCGGCCUGAGAGGGUGACCGGCCACACGUGGAACUGGGACACGGUCCAGACUCCGUACGGGAGGCAGCAGGUGGGAAUAUUAGCACGAAUGGGACGCAAGCCUGAUGCAGCAACGCCGCGGUGAGGGACGACGG
This 397-nucleotide ribosomal RNA is filed under the name uncultured soil bacterium. RNAcentral's name for it is "bacterial SSU rRNA". It matches the Rfam family "Bacterial small subunit ribosomal RNA", at positions 26 to 414 of the family's 1533-position model. The record is from RNAcentral.